Molecule: long non-coding RNA, 741 nt
Organism: Magnolia sinica
Lineage: Eukaryota; Viridiplantae; Streptophyta; Magnoliopsida; Magnoliales; Magnoliaceae
Exons: 2
Source: RefSeq, a predicted model, not a curated record
AGGGUAGCUAUGUUACUAGCGGGAGUUAUUUUGGAGUACCUGGUGGAAGUUGGGUAGCUGGCACCAAUGGAUCCAUGAAUGCACACCAUCUGCCUCUUGUGGGUGCCAAACAGGCAUCAACUGGUAACAACAAAAUUAUUCGAGGACCAGCGCCUGCCUAAGUUUGGAGGGCAGCGGGUUCGAUGUCAAUGUUAGCUGCAUUGCUGUUUGAAGGGCAGAAUAGUUGUUUUGUGCUAUGAAUGUAUGGGGGAUUUCUUGGAUGCAGAAUAUGAGAUAUUGUACUAUGGAUGUAUGGGGUCUUUUUGUUGUAUGCAAGUCUACUCACCUUUUGGCGCAUGUUGGAUUUGUUGAAUGCGAGGAUAGCCCUUUUCCAUCAUUUCUUGUUGUAAGAUGUGGAGCUUACUAUUGGUCUUGUGCUAGGGUUUGUAAGGCUAUUCCACUUUAGUUCAGAGGUGGUGUUUUUUUGGUGUGUUCGAGUUUGCCCAUUGUUGGUUAGAUUGUGAUAGUUUGUAUGGCAGUUUUGUCGAAGCUGUCUGAGUGCUUAGACCUCUCGCCUAUUGUCUUAUUUUGUUUGUUUAUGUUAUUUUUGUAUACCUCUCUUCCAUAUAAUAGGCAUGGUUUCCUAUUAUUUUUGUACAGUCUGCCUAAAUAGACGUACAGGCUAUUUUUUGUGUGUAAAGAAUGUUAUGCAGGAAAGGGAAUAGAGGAAAGGGAAAAAAACAAAGGAAAAUUUAGUUAUCA